RNAcentral lists this long non-coding RNA (468 nucleotides) under Mytilus galloprovincialis (Mediterranean mussel). Lineage: Eukaryota; Metazoa; Mollusca; Bivalvia; Mytilida; Mytilidae. The record is from RNAcentral.
GUCAACUAUAUUUGUUGUAUGGAAGAACUGUUAGCUGUGCAUGUCUGUCUGGCAUGGUUCAUCUGACCUUGACCUCAUUUUCAUGGUUCAUUGGUCAAUGUUUAGUUUUCUUGGUUAAAUUUUUGUGACAGUUGUAAUGAAGCUUUAUAUUUAGGACCAUCAACAUAUUAUAAAUGAUUAGUAAAGAAGGCGAGACAUUUCAGCGUGUGCACUCUUGUGUAGUUUCUGGACAAUAGCUUUUGUGUUAGUGUAAGCAUCUCUUGACAUUGUACCACAAGGUUCCAUAUCACAAAAGGAAGGCUGGGAUUGAGGGGCCAAAAAGAAGCAUUUUUCUUUUUUCCAGAUAAUAACUUGUUUAAGUGUAUGGAUCUCUAUGAAAUUGUACUACAAGGUUCCAUGCUACUAAGGAGACUGGGAUCGAGUGUGGGGGUAAUUGCUCCAAGGGGGGUUUCAAAAAGUUAUGGGGGG